Molecule: ribosomal RNA, 959 nt
Filed under: Fusarium sp. FRC S1940
Lineage: Eukaryota; Fungi; Ascomycota; Sordariomycetes; Hypocreales; Nectriaceae
Description: eukaryotic LSU rRNA
Rfam family: Eukaryotic large subunit ribosomal RNA (bases 450-959)
Source: RNAcentral
CCGAGUUAUUCAACUCAUCAACCCUGUGAACAUACCUAAACGUUGCUUCGGCGGGAAUAGACGGCCCCGUAAAACGGGCCGCCCCCGCCAGAGGACCCUUAACUCUGUUUCUAUAAUGUUUCUUCUGAGUAAAACAAGCAAAUAAAUUAAAACUUUCAACAACGGAUCUCUUGGCUCUGGCAUCGAUGAAGAACGCAGCGAAAUGCGAUAAGUAAUGUGAAUUGCAGAAUUCAGUGAAUCAUCGAAUCUUUGAACGCACAUUGCGCCCGCCAGUAUUCUGGCGGGCAUGCCUGUUCGAGCGUCAUUACAACCCUCAGGCCCCCGGGCCUGGCGUUGGGGAUCGGCGGAGCCCCCCGUGGGCACGCGCCGUCCCCCAAAUACAGUGGCGGUCCCGCCGCAGCUUCCAUCGCGUAGUAGCUAACACCUCGCGACUGGAGAGCGGCGCGGCCACGCCGUAAAACACCCAACUCUUCUGAACAACAGGGAUUGCCCCAGUAACGGCGAGUGAAGCGGCAACAGCUCAAAUUUGAAAUCUGGCUCUCGGGCCCGAGUUGUAAUUUGUAGAGGAUGCUUUUGGUGAGGUGCCUUCCGAGUUCCCUGGAACGGGACGCCAUAGAGGGUGAGAGCCCCGUCUGGUUGGACGCCGAACCUCUGUAAAGCUCCUUCGACGAGUCGAGUAGUUUGGGAAUGCUGCUCUAAAUGGGAGGUAUAUGUCUUCUAAAGCUAAAUACCGGCCAGAGACCGAUAGCGCACAAGUAGAGUGAUCGAAAGAUGAAAAGAACUUUGAAAAGAGAGUUAAACAGUACGUGAAAUUGUUGAAAGGGAAGCGCUUGUGACCAGACUUGGGCUUGGUUGAUCAUCCGGGGUUCUCCCCGGUGCACUCUUCCGGCUCAGGCCAGCAUCAGUUCGCCCUGGGGGAUAAAGGCAUCGGGAACGUGGCUCUCUCCGGGGAGUGUUAU